UGGGGAAUAUUGGGCAAUGGGGGAAACCCUGACCCAGCAACGCCGCGUGAGGGAAGAAGGUUUUCGGAUUGUAAACCUCUGUUCUUGGAGAAGAGAAGGAGACGGUAUCCAAGGAGGAAGCCCGGCUAACUACGUGCCAGCAGCCGCGGUAAUACGUAGGGGGCGAGCGUUGUCCGGAAUGACUGGGCGUAAAGGGCGCGUAGACGGUUUUUUAAGUCUGGAGUGAAAGUCCUGCUUUCAAGGUGGGAAUUGCUUUGGAGACUGGGGGACUUGAGUGCGGAAGAGGUAAGUGGAAUUCCCAGUGUAGCGGUGAAAUGCGUAGAGAUUGGGAAGAACACCAGUGGCGAAGGCGACUUACUGGGCCGUAACUGACGUUGAUGCGCGAAAGCGUGGGGAGCGAACAGG
This 405-nucleotide ribosomal RNA is filed under the name uncultured prokaryote. Its description in RNAcentral is "bacterial SSU rRNA". It matches the Rfam family "Bacterial small subunit ribosomal RNA", at positions 355 to 776 of the family's 1533-position model. RNAcentral also lists the same sequence under 1 other name. The record is from RNAcentral.